UACAGAGGGGGCAAGCGUUGUUCGGAAUUACUGGGCGUAAAGGGCGCGUAGGCGGCCAACUAAGUCGAACGUGAAAUCCCUGGGCUCAACCCAGGAACUGCGUCCGAUACUGGUUGGCUUGAAUCCGGGAGAGGGAUGCGGAAUUCCAGGUGUAGCGGUGAAAUGCGUAGAUAUCUGGAGGAACACCGGUGGCGAAGGCGGCAUCCUGGACCGGCAUUGACGCUGAGGCGCGAAAGCCAGGGGAGCAAACGGG
This 253-nucleotide ribosomal RNA is filed under the name uncultured bacterium. RNAcentral describes it as "partial 16S ribosomal RNA". It matches the Rfam family "Bacterial small subunit ribosomal RNA", at positions 524 to 776 of the family's 1533-position model. The record is from RNAcentral.